GGAAAUCAGGGCCCCAUUGGGCAGCCUGGGAUGCCUGGACACAGUGUGAGAGUGGGCUACACAUUAGUAAAACACAGUCAGUCAGAACACGUGCCACCAUGCCCCAUUGGCAUGAGCCAGCUAUGGGUGGGUUACAGCUUGCUGUUCGUGGAAGGGCAGGAGAAAGCCCAUAACCAGGAUCUGGCCCUUUAGACCUACGGUUGCAAAAUAGGCCACAAGCAUUAGCCCUGGAGUCAAAAGGAUUGUGAUCCAAAUGCUGGUCCUACUGCUUCAAAGUCACAUGCCCUGGG
Molecule: long non-coding RNA, 290 nt
Filed under: Rattus norvegicus (Norway rat)
Lineage: Eukaryota; Metazoa; Chordata; Mammalia; Rodentia; Muridae
Description: long non-coding RNA NONRATT031173
Source: RNAcentral